This 4129-nucleotide long non-coding RNA is filed under the name Olea europaea subsp. europaea. Lineage: Eukaryota; Viridiplantae; Streptophyta; Magnoliopsida; Lamiales; Oleaceae. The record is from RNAcentral.
UUUAUCUCUCUCGUCUCUACCCAUGUAUAAAAUCAUUACCAUCUCUCGUUAACUAACACAACGGAACCAGGAAGAACAAACCAAACACCCAAACGAAUCACUGCUUCCAUAUAUCCGCCUCCAGGGUAUUCACUGCAAAAGGUCGGCAACGAGGCUUUGAUCGCAUCGAUUAAGGUUUGUUUAAACAAUCGCACCACCUUGUUUUAUUUGUUCAUGUUUACACUUCCUGGUUAGAUUGAGUACGUAUUAUACCUCUUUAAUCAAUGAUGCCGUUUCUCAUUAUUUAACAAUUGGUUGUUCUUUUAAUUGGUACCUCAUUAUUUCAAUUAGUAGACUCCAUUUUUUUUGAGAAGCGGAGACAUGUGAAGGUGGGAAUUCAUUGAUUUGAGACUUGAGCGAUUCAACACAUUAAAUAUGGGUUUUUUCCGGUUAAUAGUUAUUGUUGUGAUUGGUGGGAAUUUACUGAUCUGAGUCCCCUUUUGAGAAUCCUAAAACUGAGAGGUGCGGGUGUGUUUGACAUACAGAGAAUCCUGAAAUUGAAAGAGGUUAUUUAAGGACGUUUUCAUUUUUUCAGAUUCAGCAACUGCGGGACAAGCUUGCUGUAGCUGAGAGAACUUAGAAAUCUGAAGCCCACUUAAAAGUAAAUCAGUGAAUUAGUGUACCUAACUGAUUAGGUUUUUUAACUUAGUUUUAUUUUAUUGUAACAAUUAAGCUUUCGCGUUCCCCUCCAGGAGACUUAUCAAUUGUUUUGAAAAGUUCUUGAAUAGACUUUGAGAUCACCGAACACGGCUAGUCACAGCAUACCAGAUGUAAGAAGUACAGAGUACUAAGGCUUAAUGAGUAAAAAAACAACUAUGACAUCUUGGGAACUUCCUUUGGUAAUUAUGUGCUGCCAUCAGUUAAAGCAUAUAAUGCCAAGCCUCUGAAUCCGAUAAACCAUAGGGAACAACUGGAGUGUUGGAAUAAGGUUCGAGGGAAUGAAGAUGUAGUUAUUUUUUUUCUCUCUUUUCCUUGUUGCUAUCUCCCAUUUUUUCAAUUCUUUAAACCCUUCCAUGAAUAGACUUCGUAUCAGUCUUUUUUGAUUGUGAUAGUUUGGGUGAACCUUGAAGAAAAUGGAAGUACGAAACAGAAGUUAGCAUUACUCUUGCCGGAAUCAAGAAGAAAUAUAUAUUUUGGACACGUAAAAUUGUACUAAAGCUGUUUGAAAUUGGUGGAUGCUAAUUGGUUAUUAAUCAGUUUCGAAGACUGAAAUUUCUAUUGCUUGAAAUGACCGAACUAAGAUUGUGCAGCAUCAACUAGUAAAUUAGUACAACGAAACAAACAUAUCUUCUUUAAUUUUGUAGAGUCGAGCAUAAUGAUCAUGUUCGUGUUCCAUAUUAAUAGGGGAAAAUUGGGUGAGUUUUUGAAAGAAUGAGUUUAUAUUCCAUGAUAGUUGUAACUCUAUAGCAUCCAUAGAUUAUGUGGAAAUUGAAUUUUCUCUCUUUGUCGUCACUUAAUUUUCCCUUUCUCUGGUCGGUUUUGCUAGAGGUACAUAAUGGUGUACCACCUCCUCACAUGGGUGGGGGACCCACUCGAAUAUUUUAUUCGAAUGGGCCCCCCCAUGUGAGGGGAUAUACACCUUUAGGUACAAAAAAUUAUGUACCACUAGUUUUAUAUUUUUCUGGUGUCAGUCAGACCUUGCACAGGCUACUUGUUCUAAACAACAUUAUAAAUUCUGAUGUGAUACAAAAUUAUGAUAUAAACCUCUUCUAGAAGAAUGUUCUUCCUUGUGGAUAAAAAUUAAACAAUAAUUUUGCAUGCAGCAGUGGUCUCUACGAGCAGCUGAAUAUCCUUGUUCCUUUAGCUUCCUUCCUCUUCCGGUUGCUACUUUGUCAUAUGCCCAAUGAUCUCAAAGUAGCCCUAUUCAUGCUCAUUUGCUAAUUAAAAUUGAGAACUCUAAAUUGCUGAGGAAACUUCUUCCUUUUCGGAAAACUUCUAUGGAUCCAAUGCAAAUUCUGGAAUAAUAAUAAAUUUGACUGGCCUAUAAAGAUGGCAGAAAUCUCAAUCUCGAGAAAAAUAGCUCAACAAUAGGAAUCUCGAACACUAAAAAAAGAACCUCAAUGAAUUAUUGUAAAUUGGGCAAAUAUACUUACUUUUGCCAAUUACUAUUAUUUUUGCUCAAAUUUAUUUUUUUUGGGGAAAAUUAUGUUUAUAAGAACUUAAAUAAUGCAAAGAGUUUUCUUCUCCUUCUCCUUCUCCUUUUCCAUCUUCCAUUUUUUUUUAAACAAUAAAAAUUAAACAAUAAUUUUGCAUGCAGCUGUGGUCUCUAUGGGCUUUCUUCAUCAGCUGAAUAUCCUUGUUCUGUUAGCUUCCUUCCUCUUCAGGUUGCUACUUUGUCAUAUGCCCAAUGAUCUCAAAGUAGCCCCGUUCCUGCUCAUUUGCCAAUUAAAACUGAGAACUCUAAAUUGCUGAGGAAACUUCUUCCUUUUCGGAAAACUUCUAUGGAUCCAACUGCAAAUUCUCGAAUAAUAAUAAAUUUGACUGGCCUAUAAAGAUGGCAAAAAUCUCGAUCUCUAAGGAAAAAAGCGCUCAACAAUAGGAAUCUUGAACACUAAAAAAAGAACCUCUAUGAAUUAUUGUAAAUUGGGCAAAUAUACUUACUUUUGUCCAUUAAUAUUAUUUUUACUCGAAUUUAUUUUUUUGGGGGAAAAUUAUGUUUAUCAGAACUUUAUAAUGCAAAGAGUUUUCUUCUCCUUCUCCAUUUUUUUUUCAAAUGGGGGUUCUAUGAAGAAUUUACCCUUUCAUGCUUGAACCGAACUUCUUCACUUUCGACAUUUUUUUUUUUUUUAACAAUCAUUAUUUAAUUUAGAUUGUUUGUAGCUCAAAGUAUAAGGAAAGGAAAGAUAUAAUUUUUCUUAUGUUCUACAUGUUAUUGUGUAUGUGAACUUUUUUAUAUAUAGUCAAAUUUCUCUAGUCGGUUUUCUUUGACCUUUUGCAGUAACUCCUUGAAAUGAUUUCUGAAGUGGGUUCUAUUCAAAAGAUCUUUUCUUAAUGUUUGAUUUAUAAGUUAAACAUUCCUACAGAUUAUAAAGAUGUCGUUUACAAGGAAAGCUAUCCUUAGAAGAACUCAGAAGAAGUGCACAUCAUCGUGAGUUAUUUUUCUCUUCCUUUUACUGACUCUUUCUUUUAGCCUUUUUUAUUCUGAUAUAAAGUUUACUAUGCCAGACAUUUAAGAAGAAAAUUUGGGCUUCUUGUAAGGCACAAGGGUUGUAUGAAGCGCGCAAAAGCCUAUCUCCAAAAUUUGCAGACUAUGCUUGUAAGUUCAAUUUUGACACAAUUAAUCAGUUUACUCUCUUUAGUCUUUUCUCUGUUUUUAAUGUCCUUCCAAUCGUCAAUUUAAUAUCUGAAAGGGCAGUAUUUAUACAGUUGAUAAAUCAGAGGGGGCAUUGUGGGAAAGAGUGAUAAUUUGGUGGGGUGGAAUGGAUUGUAUUCUGAAAAUUAAAGAGAACCUCAUAGGGGAUUCAUUAUAUCUAAUGCAGAAAUUUCUAAAGCUAAAUGCCUACCUGGAUGAGCUAAAUGACAAGACUGACGUGAUACUUGCCGAGAUGCGAGAGAUAAAAGCCGAACAAUAAGAGUUGAACGCUGAAGAGGAAGAGGUAAUUGCCGAACUGGAAACCACGGAAAGCGAAAUAAAAGAAUUAGAAAAAACAUUUGAAGAUAUGUUGCAGGUACCAUUUCGACCAUGUAUUUGAUAGUGGAUGGAUGAAUUGAGGUUUCAACUUUUAGUUUUCAUUCAUAUUUUUAUACUACAAUUUUUAUGUCAUUACAGAAACACAUGGAAGAGGCAAUUGCUAGUGACCUGAUGAAUUUACCUGAGGAUAGAGCCCUUACAGAAACUAAAGAAAAUGGCAGCUCUUAGACAUUGAAUAGACAUCAUGGUUGGAGCAAAUCGAUACACACACACAUAUGAACAUUACAUUUGCUUGUGCAAUUUAACGAUUGGAAUUAUAGGAGCAAGGAAUAAUUUGGUAUGAAAUAUUAUCUUGCGUGAUUUGAACUGUUAUUUUUAUCUUUGUUAUUUGUUUUUUCUAGUGCUCUGAAGUGUUAUUCUUCAACAAUACUUAUUAAUUAUUCAUUCAUAACCUUCCCU